AGCGGGGUGGCGCAGUGGGAGCGUACUAGGCUCAUAACCUAGGGGUCGGUGGAUCGAAACCACUCUCCGCUA
Oxytricha trifallax is the source of this 72-nucleotide non-coding RNA. Lineage: Eukaryota; Ciliophora; Spirotrichea; Sporadotrichida; Oxytrichidae. The record is from Rfam.